GCGCCCUUAGCUCAGCUGGAUAGAGCGUCAGAUUCCGGUUCUGAAGGUCAGAGGUUCGAAUCCUCUAGGGCGUA
This 74-nucleotide transfer RNA is filed under the name Rhodothermaceae bacterium RA. It matches the Rfam family "tRNA". From Rfam's summary of the family: Transfer RNA (tRNA) molecules are approximately 80 nucleotides in length. Their secondary structure includes four short double-helical elements and three loops (D, anti-codon, and T loops). Further hydrogen bonds mediate the characteristic L-shaped molecular structure. tRNAs have two regions of fundamental functional importance: the anti-codon, which is responsible for specific mRNA codon recognition, and the 3' end, to which the tRNAs corresponding amino acid is attached (by aminoacyl-tRNA synthetases). tRNAs cope with the degeneracy of the genetic code in two manners: having more than one tRNA (with a specific anti-codon) for a particular amino acid; and 'wobble' base-pairing, i.e. permitting non-standard base-pairing at the 3rd anti-codon position. Lineage: Bacteria; Pseudomonadati; Rhodothermota; Rhodothermia; Rhodothermales; Rhodothermaceae. The record is from Rfam by way of RNAcentral.